GUAUCCCAACCUUCUAUUGAGACCGAAAGCUUCAGCAUCCAAAUCUGCACGAGCCAUCAUGAAUGGUCUACUGGGAGCAAACGUCCUUGUGUGGGUCGCCGCUGCUAUAGCUGUGCUCAUCAUGCUUCCCAAUGAAGCUGCUGCUCUUGGAGGCGGGGUUGGAGGAAAUGGAGGAAUUGGCUUUCGCAAGAAGUGAAGCACUGCUCUGAUCAUGCCUGCAGAGACAAACUGAUGAACCAAUCUUUGCUUUUAAUAAAAUGUCGAAAUAGAGACAUUAUCCUGUUCUCCACCUAUAGAGUAAUGAAAAGCGCAGCUUGGUCAAGUAUCGUUUUACAAAUAGAUGAAUCUUAUAUAGCUUUUCAGAAAACUUCGACACAUUUAAAGUGGCCGGAAAUAUUACAUCAGAGCGAAUAUUGCCAAUUAUGCCAGUUCGAGAGCAGUGCGUUUUCUGCGACGCUUCUGGAUGGUAUUGUAGUGGUUAAACC
Long non-coding RNA from Dermacentor silvarum, 485 nucleotides. RefSeq lists it as uncharacterized. The record is from RefSeq and is a predicted model, not a curated record. Lineage: Eukaryota; Metazoa; Arthropoda; Arachnida; Ixodida; Ixodidae. The transcript is spliced from 3 exons.